Lolium rigidum is the source of this 818-nucleotide long non-coding RNA. RefSeq lists it as uncharacterized. The transcript has 3 exons. Lineage: Eukaryota; Viridiplantae; Streptophyta; Magnoliopsida; Poales; Poaceae. The record is from RefSeq and is a predicted model, not a curated record.
CCUCAGCUCAAGUUUAUGUUUUCUAUUUAAUUGUUAUCUUUCUGCCAUGACACAGGACAUUGAGUCUAUAUCACACAUUGGACAGGAGGCAGUUAUAGUUGAUUGUUAUCAACGCCCAGCUCCAACAUAGCUGGAACAGCUCGAGCAAGUUUCUAGUUUCUACAAAAUUCAUAGUGUUGGUUGUGAGCUCUCUAGACCCCAGUUAAGUGCUGUAAUUGCCCUUAUCUCCCUCUUGAAUGUCUGGAAACUUCACUUGUCAAAAAUCCUGAUAUGACUAAUGCAAGUAGCCAACUACUGCUUCUUGACAAAAUUCUUCAAGAGAUCAGCAACAAGAGGUUAAGAGUCAUUGUUCCUUUUCAGUGAUUCUCUCGAUGCUCUUCUUUAAUCAGUUACUUUGGGGGCACACCUUAAUUUUCUCAGCUCAGCAUGAUCUUAAACAUUUUUGUUUUUGUUUUGCGGUUGUCUGGUGGAGUAGGUGCAAACCCAAUGGGCGAUAUUCUGAAAGAUGUUGCGCGUCCCAGAUUUGGUCCUGAGUCGUUCACAGAUUUGGUACCAGAGUCAUAUGAAUGUGUUAAAUGUGGUGCAGUGAUGCCAAGUAAAACUGGCGACAAUUAAUAUGUUCACUGACAAGACCAAGGGGAGAUUUGUUUUUCAGUUUGACUCCUUCAAAAGGCAUCUAAUUUGUUGCGAACCAAACAUGAAUAGUUUUUCAUAUCUUAGCUGUCAAAGAUUUAUGAUUUUGUUGAACAAAUACACACCGAGAAGUUCGACCAAAUACUUUGUAAACCGACAUCUAUCUAGAAGCACAUGUUGAAGUA